GGGUUGUGAGGUUAAGCGACUAAGCGUACACGGUGGAUGCCCUGGCAGUCAGAGGCGAUGAAGGACGUGCUAAUCUGCGAAAAGCGUCGGUAAGGUGAUAUGAACCGUUACAGCCGGCGAUGUCCGAAUGGGGAAACCCAGUGCAAUUCGUUGCACUAUCGUUAACUGAAUACAUAGGUUAACGAGGCGAACCGGGGGAACUGAAACAUCUAAGUACCCCGAGGAAAAGAAAUCAACCGAGAUUCCCCCAGUAGCGGCGAGCGAACGGGGAGCAGCCCAGAGUCUGAAUCAGCUUGUGUGUUAGUGGAACGGUCUGGAAAGUCCGACGGUACAGGGUGAUAGUCCCGUACACCAAAAUGCACAGGCUGUGAACUCGAAGAGUAGGGCGGGACACGUGGUAUCCUGUCUGAAUAUGGGGGGACCAUCCUCCAAGGCUAAAUACUCCUGACUGACCGAUAGUGAACCAGUACCGUGAGGGAAAGGCGAAAAGAACCCCGGCGAGGGGAGUGAAAAAGAACCUGAAACCGUGUACGUACAAGCAGUGGGAGCACCUUCGGGUGUGACUGCGUACCUUUUGUAUAAUGGGUCAGCGACUUAUAUUCUGUAGCAAGGUUAACCGUAUAGGGGAGCCGCAGGGAAACCGAGUCUUAACUGGGCGUUAAGUUGCAGGGUAUAGACCCGAAACCCGGUGAUCUAGCCAUGGGCAGGUUGAAGGUUGGGUAACACUAACUGGAGGACCGAACCGACUAAUGUUGAAAAAUUAGCGGAUGACUUGUGGCUGGGGGUGAAAGGCCAAUCAAACCGGGAGAUAGCUGGUUCUCCCCGAAAGCUAUUUAGGUAGCGCCUCGUGAAUUCAUCUUCGGGGGUAGAGCACUGUUUCGGCUAGGGGGUCAUCCCGACUUACCAACCCGAUGCAAACUACGAAUACCGAAGAAUGUUAUCACGGGAGACACACGGCGGGUGCUAACGUCCGUCGUGAAGAGGGAAACAACCCAGACCGCCAGCUAAGGUCCCAAAGUCACAGUUAAGUGGGAAACGAUGUGGGAAGGCACAGACAGCCAGGAUGUUGGCUUAGAAGCAGCCAUCAUUUAAAGAAAGCGUAAUAGCUCACUGGUCGAGUCGGCCUGCGCGGAAGAUGUAACGGGGCUAAACUGUGCACCGAAGCUGCGGCAGCGACACUAUGUGUUGUUGGGUAGGGGAGCGUUCUGUAAGCCUGCGAAGGUGGCCUGUGAGGGUUGCUGGAGGUAUCAGAAGUGCGAAUGCUGACAUAAGUAACGAUAAUGCGGGUGAAAAGCCCGCACGCCGGAAGACCAAGGGUUCCUGUCCAACGUUAAUCGGGGCAGGGUGAGUCGACCCCUAAGGCGAGGCCGAAAGGCGUAGUCGAUGGGAAACAGGUUAAUAUUCCUGUACUUGGUGUUACUGCGAAGGGGGGACGGAGAAGGCUAUGUUAGCCGGGCGACGGUUGUCCCGGUUUAAGCAUGUAGGCGGAGGUUCCAGGUAAAUCCGGUACCUUUUUAACGCUGAGGUGUGAUGACGAGGCACUACGGUGCUGAAGUAACAAAUGCCCUGCUUCCAGGAAAAGCCUCUAAGCAUCAGGUAACAUUAAAUCGUACCCCAAACCGACACAGGUGGUCAGGUAGAGAAUACCAAGGCGCUUGAGAGAACUCGGGUGAAGGAACUAGGCAAAAUGGUGCCGUAACUUCGGGAGAAGGCACGCUGAUAUGUAGGUGAAGCCCCUGCGGGUGGAGCUGAAAUCAGUCGAAGAUACCAGCUGGCUGCAACUGUUUAUUAAAAACACAGCACUGUGCAAACACGAAAGUGGACGUAUACGGUGUGACGCCUGCCCGGUGCCGGAAGGUUAAUUGAUGGGGUUAUCCGUAAGGAGAAGCUCUUGAUCGAAGCCCCGGUAAACGGCGGCCGUAACUAUAACGGUCCUAAGGUAGCGAAAUUCCUUGUCGGGUAAGUUCCGACCUGCACGAAUGGCGUAAUGAUGGCCAGGCUGUCUCCACCCGAGACUCAGUGAAAUUGAACUCGCUGUGAAGAUGCAGUGUACCCGCGGCAAGACGGAAAGACCCCGUGAACCUUUACUAUAGCUUGACACUGAACAUUGAGCCUUGAUGUGUAGGAUAGGUGGGAGGCUUUGAAGCGUGGACGCCAGUCUGCGUGGAGCCAACCUUGAAAUACCACCCUUUAAUGUUUGAUGUUCUAACGUUGGCCCCUUAUCGGGGUUGCGGACAGUGUCUGGUGGGUAGUUUGACUGGGGCGGUCUCCUCCCAAAGAGUAACGGAGGAGCACGAAGGUUAGCUAAUCCUGGUCGGACAUCAGGAGGUUAGUGCAAUGGCAUAAGCUAGCUUGACUGCGAGCGUGACGGCGCGAGCAGGUGCGAAAGCAGGUCAUAGUGAUCCGGUGGUUCUGAAUGGAAGGGCCAUCGCUCAACGGAUAAAAGGUACUCCGGGGAUAACAGGCUGAUACCGCCCAAGAGUUCAUAUCGACGGCGGUGUUUGGCACCUCGAUGUCGGCUCAUCACAUCCUGGGGCUGAAGUAGGUCCCAAGGGUAUGGCUGUUCGCCAUUUAAAGUGGUACGCGAGCUGGGUUUAGAACGUCGUGAGACAGUUCGGUCCCUAUCUGCCGUGGGCGCUGGAGAAUUGAGGGGGGCUGCUCCUAGUACGAGAGGACCGGAGUGGACGCAUCACUGGUGUUCGGGUUGUCAUGCCAAUGGCAUUGCCCGGUAGCUAAAUGCGGAAGAGAUAAGUGCUGAAAGCAUCUAAGCACGAAACUUGCCCCGAGAUGAGUUCUCCCUGACUCCUUGAGAGUCCUGAAGGAACGUUAAAGACGAUGACGUUGAUAGGUCGGAUGUGUAAGCGUAGCGAUACGUUGAGCUAACCGAUACUAAUGAACCGUGAGGCUUAACCUUACAACGCCGAAGGUGUUU
RNAcentral lists this ribosomal RNA (2932 nucleotides) under Klebsiella aerogenes. RNAcentral describes it as "23S ribosomal RNA". It matches the Rfam family "Bacterial large subunit ribosomal RNA". Lineage: Bacteria; Pseudomonadati; Pseudomonadota; Gammaproteobacteria; Enterobacterales; Enterobacteriaceae. The record is from RNAcentral.